RNAcentral lists this ribosomal RNA (489 nucleotides) under uncultured bacterium. RNAcentral's name for it is "bacterial SSU rRNA". It matches the Rfam family "Bacterial small subunit ribosomal RNA", at positions 28 to 507 of the family's 1533-position model. The record is from RNAcentral.
GAUGAACGCUGGCGGCGUGCCUAACACAUGCAAGUCGAACGAAGCACAUACGACGGAACUCUUCGGAGGGAAGAUGUAUGUGACUGAGUGGCGGACGGGUGAGUAACGCGUGGGUAACCUGCCCUAUACAGGGGGACAACAGUUGGAAACGACUGCUAAUACCGCAUAAGCCCACGGCUCGGCAUCGAGCAGAGGGAAAAGGAGCAAUCCGCUUUGAGAUGGCCUCGCGUCCGAUUAGCUAGUUGGUGAGGUAACGGCCCACCAAGUCGACGAUCAGUAGCCGGACUGAGAGGUUGAACGGCCACAUUGGGACUGAGAUACGGCCCAAACUCCUACGGGAGGCAGCAGUGGGGAAUAUUGCACAAUGGGGGAAACCCUGAUGCAGCGACGCCGCGUGAGGGAAGACGGGUCCUCUGGAUUGUAAACCUCUGUCUUCGGGGACGAAAACGAGACGGUACCUGAGGAGGAAGCCAACGGCUAAACUACGUG